AUGCCUGAUGAUGCAAGGCCAGGCCCAGUCGCGCGCGAAGGCGGAGAACCCGAUGCGCCGCCGAGCGCCCGGGACCCGGUCAUCCUCGACACCUCGCAACAGAUUCCUCGCGCUGCCACCCUCUCGCCACUGCCACCUCACACCGCCACUCUCUCACAGCGCAGGUACCAGAGGAUCAACCCAGAGUCCGUUCCAGUCCCAAAUGGCAGCGGCAGCGGCAGUGGCAGCUCCACCACCAGGAAGCUAACAGAACACGCACCAUCACCCACACCAAGCAUGGACGAGCGCGAUGGGGCCACAGCCGUGGACGCCGACAACUCGUGCCUCGCGUCCUACCUCGCCCGCGCCUCGCUCAAGCAGCGCUGGCCAGGAGGGCGUCCGGCGUCCUCAUCCGCUGUCAUCGUGAGCGAUCAUCCGCUGCACAACACCUCCGUGCACUCCUCGCAGGGACUCAACCUGGGCGGCGGCCUCUACGACUUGGCAGCCCAAGCCUCCGAGGUAUCCAACAGCCUCGGUGGCGCGGUCUACACCUUCGACACCCAGGCCUCCCAGGUAUACAACAGCCUCGACGGCGGCCUCUACAACCUCGCCGCCCAGGCUACCCAGGGAGCCGACCUCGGCGCGGGCAGGCUCUACAACCUCGCCGCCCAGGCUACCCAGGGAACCAACCCCGGCGGCGGCAGCAGCAGCAGCCGCAUCGCCAUCGCCGCGCCGAAAGACCCCAUCCCGCUCAAGUGGGGCCACAAGAAGCGCUCGCGUGCCCGCCGCGAGCCGCACGCGCUCGCGCCCGCUCCCACUCCUGCACCCGUACCGGUGCCUACUCCUGCGCCAGCACCGGUGCCCACUCCCACCCCCGCAACUGAGCCCCAGCUGAUCCCCGCUCAGGCGCAUUGCCGGGCCAUCUUAAGGCUGAAGAAACGCCCGGCGGCGCAAGGCCAGGCCCAGCCGCGCGCGGAGGCGGAGAAGCUGAUGCCGCCGCCGAGCGCCUGCGGCCCCGUCAUCCUCGACACCUCGCCACACACUCCUCGCGCUGCGACCGUCUCGCCACUGCCACCUCACGCUGCCACCAUCUCGCCACUGCCAUCACGCGCCACCACCCUCUCGCAGCACAGGUAUGCACGCCACGCCCCAUUCCGCGUCAACGCUAGGUAA
RNAcentral lists this ribosomal RNA (1152 nucleotides) under Triticum aestivum (bread wheat). RNAcentral's name for it is "partial small subunit ribosomal RNA". Lineage: Eukaryota; Viridiplantae; Streptophyta; Magnoliopsida; Poales; Poaceae. The record is from RNAcentral.